Molecule: Y RNA, 102 nt
Filed under: Prolemur simus (greater bamboo lemur)
Lineage: Eukaryota; Metazoa; Chordata; Mammalia; Primates; Lemuridae
Description: Y RNA (ENSPSMG00000022389.1)
Rfam family: Y RNA
About the family: Y RNAs are components of the Ro ribonucleoprotein particle (Ro RNP), in association with Ro60 and La proteins. The Y RNAs and Ro60 and La proteins are well conserved, but the function of the Ro RNP is not known.
Source: Rfam by way of RNAcentral
GGUUGGUCCGAGUGCAGUGGUGUUUGCAACUAAUUGAUCACAACCAGUUACAGAUUCCUUUGUUCCUUCUCCGCUCCCUCUGCUUCACUUGACCAGCCUUAA